RNAcentral lists this ribosomal RNA (230 nucleotides) under uncultured bacterium. Its description in RNAcentral is "partial 16S ribosomal RNA". It matches the Rfam family "Bacterial small subunit ribosomal RNA", at positions 111 to 339 of the family's 1533-position model. The record is from RNAcentral.
UAACGCGUAUCCGACCUUCCCGCGGCAGGGGCAUAACCCGGUGAAAGCCGGACUAAUUCCCCGUGGUCCCCACACAGGCCAUCCUUCGUGGGGUAUAGGACUCGUCCGGCCGCGGACGGGGAUGCGUCCGAUUAGCUAGUUGGCGGGGUAACGGCCCACCAAGGCGCCGAUCGGUAGGGGUUCUGAGAGGAAGGCCCCCCACAUUGGGACUGAGACACGGCCCAAACUCC